AUUCAUUGUCACCGGCCAAGUCAAUGGAUAGUAUUAAGGUGGAGAUGAGCAUACUCUGGAUUAGUAUGGGUAUAAGGGGUUAUGGGGAGAAGAUAGAAGAAUGGGGUUGGAGGAAAAGAUAGAUCAGCCACGAUUGAA
Amblyraja radiata (thorny skate) is the source of this 138-nucleotide long non-coding RNA. RefSeq lists it as uncharacterized. The record is from RefSeq and is a predicted model, not a curated record. NCBI's taxonomy places the organism in Eukaryota, Metazoa, Chordata, Chondrichthyes, Rajiformes, Rajidae. The transcript has 3 exons.